Molecule: ribosomal RNA, 164 nt
Filed under: uncultured bacterium
Lineage: Bacteria
Description: partial 16S rRNA
Rfam family: Bacterial small subunit ribosomal RNA
Source: RNAcentral
UAGGGAAUCUUCCACAAUGGGCGAAAGCCUGAUGGAGCAACGCCGCGUGUGUGAUGAAGGGUUUCGGCUCGUAAAACACUGUUGUAAGAGAAGAAUGACAUUGAGAGUAACUGUUCAAUGCGUGACGGUAUCUUACCAGAAAGGAACGGCUGAAUACGUGCCAG